ACGGGAGGCAGCAGUGGGGAAUAUUGCACAAUGGGCGCAAGCCUGAUGCAGCAACGCCGCGUGAGGGAAAACGGUUUUCGGAUUGUAAACCUCUGUUCUUAGUGACGAAGAAGUGACGGUAGCUAAGGAGCAAGCCACGGCUAACUACGUGCCAGCAGCCGCGGUAAUACGUAGGUGGCAAGCGUUAUCCGGAAUUACUGGGUGUAAAGGGAGCGCAGGCGGGAUAGCAAGUCAGCGGUGAAAUGUAUGGGCUUAACCCAUGAACUGCCGUUGAAACUGUUAUUCUUGAGUGGAGUAGAGGCAGGCGGAAUUCCGAGUGUAGCGGUGAAAUGCGUAGAUAUUCGGAGGAACACCAGUGGCGAAGGCGGCUUACUGGACUGUAACUGACGUUGAGGCUCGAAAGCGUGGGGAGCAAACAGGAUUAGAUACCCUGGUA
Molecule: ribosomal RNA, 436 nt
Filed under: uncultured Clostridium sp.
Lineage: Bacteria; Bacillati; Bacillota; Clostridia; Eubacteriales; Clostridiaceae
Description: partial 16S ribosomal RNA
Rfam family: Bacterial small subunit ribosomal RNA
Source: RNAcentral